AGAGUGGCAGACGGGUGAGUAACACGUGGGCAACCUACCCCGAGGCGGGGGAUAACCACUGGAAACGGUGGCUAAUACCGCAUGAGACCACGACCCUGCGGGGUUGGGGUUAAAGGCUUCGGCCACCUUGGGAGGGGCCCGCGGCCGAUUAGCUAGUUGGUGAGGUAACGGCUCACCAAGGCGACGAUCGGUAGCUGGUCUGAGAGGAUGAUCAGCCACACUGGUACUGAGACACGGACCAG
RNAcentral lists this ribosomal RNA (242 nucleotides) under uncultured bacterium. Its description in RNAcentral is "partial 16S ribosomal RNA". It matches the Rfam family "Bacterial small subunit ribosomal RNA", at positions 92 to 334 of the family's 1533-position model. The record is from RNAcentral.